UUAAGUAGGUCAUGUCCAGCUUAUUUGCUUUUUAUUUUAAGCUCGACAAACUCUACUUAGCU
Molecule: non-coding RNA, 62 nt
Filed under: Spodoptera frugiperda (fall armyworm)
Lineage: Eukaryota; Metazoa; Arthropoda; Insecta; Lepidoptera; Noctuidae
Source: RNAcentral